GCAUAACGCGAAGAACCUUACCCACACUUGACAUACCUCUUGGGGCUUUCAGAGAUGAUUGCUUUCGGUUCGGCCGGGGAGAGUACAGGUGCUGCAUGGCUGUCGUCAGCUCGUGUCGUGAGAUGUUGGGUUAAGUCCCGCAACGAGCGCAACCCUUAUCGUAUGUUGCCAGCAUUUAGUUGGGCACUCAUGCGAGACUGCCGGUGACAAGCCGGAGGAAGGCGGGGACGACGUCAAGUCAUCAUGGCCCUUACGUGUGGGGCUAGAAACGUGCUACAAUGGCGGUGACAAUGGGCAGCGAGAUCGUGAGGUCAAGCUAAUCCCAAAAAGCCGUCUCAGUUCAGAUUGUAGUCUGCAACUCGACUACAUGAAGUUGGAAUCGCUAGUAAUCGCAAAUCAGCAUGUUGCGGUGAAUACG
RNAcentral lists this ribosomal RNA (418 nucleotides) under uncultured bacterium. RNAcentral describes it as "bacterial SSU rRNA". It matches the Rfam family "Bacterial small subunit ribosomal RNA", at positions 954 to 1370 of the family's 1533-position model. The record is from RNAcentral.